Molecule: ribosomal RNA, 667 nt
Filed under: uncultured bacterium
Lineage: Bacteria
Description: bacterial SSU rRNA
Rfam family: Bacterial small subunit ribosomal RNA
Source: RNAcentral
AUACGNGUGAGUAACCUGCCUUUCAGAGGGGGAUAACAUUCUGAAAAGGAUGCUAAUACCGCAUAAAGUCAGAGUGUCGCAUGGCGCACUGACCAAAGGAGCAAUCCGCUGAAAGAUGGACUCGCGUCCGAUUAGCUAGUUGGCGGGGUAAAGGCCCACCAAGGCGACGAUCGGUAGCCGGACUGAGAGGUUGAACGGCCACAUUGGGACUGAGACACGGCCCAGACUCCUACGGGAGGCAGCAGUGGGGGAUAUUGCACAAUGGGGGAAACCCUGAUGCAGCAACGCCGCGUGAGUGACGAAGGUCUUCGGAUUGUAAAACUCUGUUCUUGGUGAAGAUAAUGACGGUAGCCAAGGAGAAAGCUCCGGCUAACUACGUGCCAGCAGCCGCGGUAAUACGUAGGGAGCGAGCGUUGUCCGGAAUUACUGGGUGUAAAGGGUGCGUAGGCGGCCUUGCAAGUCAGGCGUGAAAACCAUGGGCUCAACCCGUGGACUGCGUUUGAAACUGUGAGGCUUGAGUGAAGUAGAGGUAGGCGGAAUUCCCGGUGUAGCGGUGAAAUGCGUAGAGAUCGGGAGGAACACCAGUGGCGAAGGCGGCCUACUGGGCUUUAACUGACGCUGAGGCACGAAAGCAUGGGUAGCAAACAGGAUUAGAUACCCUGGUAGU